AGUGAACGCUGGCGGCGUGGUUCAGACAUGCAAGUCGAGCGAAGAAGCACCUUCGGGUGUGGAUUAGCGGCGAACGGGUGCGUAACACGUGAGCAACCUGCCUUGAAGUUCGGAAUAGCCCGGCGAAAGUUGGAUUAAUACCGGAUGUGGUAAUUUUCUGCAUGGAAAAGAUACUAAAGCUUGUAAUGGCGCUUCAAGAGGGGCUCGCGGCCUAUCAGCUUGUUGGUGAGGUAACGGCUCACCAAGGCUUAGACGGGUAACUGGUUUGAGAGAAUGAUCAGUCACACUGGAACUGAGAUACGGUCCAGACACCUACGGGUGGCAGCAGUUUCGAAUCAUUCACAAUGGGCGAAAGCCUGAUGGUGCAACGCCGCGUGGGGGAUGACGGCCUUCGGGUUGUAAACCCCUGUCACUAGGGAUUAAAAGUAUGGCUCAUACCCAUACCUGAAGUAACCUAGAGAGGAAGAGGUGGCUAACUCCGUGCCAGCAGCCGCGGUAAUACGGAGACCUCGAGCGUUACUCGGAUUUACUGGGCGUAAAGGGUUCGUAGGUGGACAAAUGUGUCGGGUGUGAAAUCCUGCGGCUUAACCGCAGAACUGCGCCCGAAACUGUUUGACUAGAGACUCGGAGGGGUAAGCGGAAUUCCAGGUGUAGCGGUGAAAUGCGUAGAUAUCUGGAGGAACACCAACGGCGAAGGCAGCUUACUGGACGAGAUCUGACACUGAUGGACGAAAGCGUGGGGAGCGAAAGGGAUUAGAUACCCCUGUAGUCCACGCCGUAAACGUUGUGCACUCGCUAUGAGAGGAUUCGACCCCUUUCGUGGCUUAGCUAACGCGUUAAGUGCACCGCCUGAGGACUACGACCGCAAGGUUAAAACUCAAAGGAAUUGACGGGUCCCCGCACAAGCGGUGGAGCAUGUGGCUUAAUUCGAUGCAACGCGAAGAACCUUACCAGGCCUUGACAUGUAGUGGACCGGUCCAGAAAUGGACCUUCUCUUCGGAGCCGCUUCACAGGUGCUGCAUGGCCGUCGUCAGCUCGUGUCGUGAGAUGUUCGGUUAAGUCCGUCAACGAGCGCAACCCCUGUCCUUAGUUGCCAGCAUUCAGUUGGGGACUCUAAGGAGACUAACUUGUUUUACAAGUGGGAAGGUGGGGAUGACGUCAGGUCAGUAUGGCCCUUAUGGUCUGGGCUGCACACGUGCUACAAUGCCAAGUACAAUGGGUUGCUACCUCGCGAGAGGAUGCUAAUCUCCAAAGCUUGGCCCAGUUCGGAUUGGAGUCUGCAACUCGACUCCAUGAAGUUGGAAUCGCUAGUAAUGGCGCAUCAGCUACGGCGCCGUGAAUACGUUCCCGGGGAUUGUACACACCGCCCGUCACAUCAUGAAAGUCGGUUUUGCCCGAAGUACGUGAGCUAACUCGCAAGAGAGGCAGCGUCCUACGGUGAGGCUGGUGAUUGGGAUG
Molecule: ribosomal RNA, 1458 nt
Filed under: uncultured bacterium
Lineage: Bacteria
Description: bacterial SSU rRNA
Rfam family: Bacterial small subunit ribosomal RNA
Source: RNAcentral